AUUGAACGCUGGCGGCAGGCCUAACACAUGCAAGUCGAGCGCGAAAGGCUUUCGGGCUGAGUAGAGCGGCGGACGGGUGAGUAACGCGUAGGAAUCUACCUGGUAGUGGGGGACAACUUGGGGAAACUCAAGCUAAUACCGCAUACGCCCCAAGGGGGAAANCGGGGGACCUUCGGGCCUCGCGCUAUCAGAUGAGCCUGCGUAGGAUUAGCUAGUUGGUGAGGUAAAGGCUCACCAAGGCGACGAUCCUUAGCUGGUCUGAGAGGAUGAUCAGCCACACUGGGACUGAGACACGGCCCAGACUCCUACGGGAGGCAGCAGUGGGGAAUAUUGCGCAAUGGGGGCAACCCUGACGCAGCCAUGCCGCGUGUGU
RNAcentral lists this ribosomal RNA (373 nucleotides) under uncultured bacterium. RNAcentral describes it as "bacterial SSU rRNA". It matches the Rfam family "Bacterial small subunit ribosomal RNA", at positions 29 to 406 of the family's 1533-position model. The record is from RNAcentral.